This 264-nucleotide long non-coding RNA is filed under the name Linum usitatissimum (flax). RNAcentral's name for it is "long non-coding RNA (LUSI_LNC005535)". The record is from RNAcentral. Lineage: Eukaryota; Viridiplantae; Streptophyta; Magnoliopsida; Malpighiales; Linaceae.
ACGGUUCAGGAAGAAGCUCUACAACUAUCUACGAGAACAGCGACUGGCGAUUUAGGAAGAAUUCUUGUGCAUAUCGUCUCUUCUUCCUCAACAAUCUCUGCUUCGUUUCACUCUGUAAUCGAAGAGAUUCCGGUGGCCAGCUUUCAAUCAGUAGUCAGUUGUUUCCUCAGGCGAGAUGGAAGCCAAAGAUCCAGUAUACCUGUAGAUGUUUAUAGUGAUCCUGGGUUGCAAUCGGAGACUUGAGAGAAAGAAAGCGCAAGAAGA